UACGUAGGGUGCAAGCGUUAAUCGGAAUUACUGGGCGUAAAGCGUGCGCAGGCGGUUUUGUAAGUCUGUCGUGAAAUCCCCGGGCUCAACCCUGGAAUGCCGGUGGAUACUGUCGGGCUCGAAUCCGGAAGAGGUGAGUGGAAUUCCUGGUGUAGCGGUGGAAUGCGCAGAUAUCAGGAGGAACACCGAUGGCGAAGGCAGUUCUCUGGGCCGUAACUGACGCUGAGGAGCGAAAGCGUGGGGAGCGAACAGG
Molecule: ribosomal RNA, 253 nt
Filed under: uncultured bacterium
Lineage: Bacteria
Description: partial 16S ribosomal RNA
Rfam family: Bacterial small subunit ribosomal RNA
Source: RNAcentral